Long non-coding RNA from Drosophila albomicans, 271 nucleotides. RefSeq lists it as uncharacterized. NCBI's taxonomy places the organism in Eukaryota, Metazoa, Arthropoda, Insecta, Diptera, Drosophilidae. The transcript is spliced from 3 exons. The record is from RefSeq and is a predicted model, not a curated record.
GCAUAAAGAGCUUACAUAAAUAUGAUUUAGCACACAUUUAGCAAUCAUGUGUAUAUGCAAAUUAUGAAAUUAGUUUGCCGAAAACCAAACCUCAUGGUCUCUAAUAUUUCAUGAACCCGGUGCACAGAGCUUAUUGGAUUUGACAAAGUUCAAAGUUUGUCAGGGGCAAAGACCACAGCCGAAAAAGAGGAAGCACAAAGUUUCCGCUUUGCUGUCGGAAACAUCAACAUUGGAGAUGGACAAAAGUGAGUGCGGCGACCAGGAGGAAAAU